AUCCUGGCUCAGAUUGAACGCUGGCGGCAUGCCUUACACAUGCAAGUCGAACGGCAGCGGACCUUCGGGUGCCGGCGAGUGGCGAACGGGUGAGUAAUAUAUCGGAACGUACCUUCAGGUGGGGGAUAACGUAGCGAAAGUUACGCUAAUACCGCAUAUUCUGUGAGCAGGAAAGCAGGGGAUCGCAAGACCUUGCGCUGAUUGAGCGGCCGAUAUCAGAUUAGCUAGUUGGUGAGGUAAAGGCCCACCAAGGCGACGAUCUGUAGCGGGUCUGAGAGGAUGAUCCGCCACACUGGAACUGAGACACGGUCCAGACUCCUACGGGAGGCAGCAGUGGGGAAUUUUGGACAAUGGGCGCAAGCCUGAUCCAGCCAUGCCGCGUGAGUGAAGAAGGCCUUCGGGUUGUAAAGCUCUUUCAGCCGGGAAGAAAACGCAUGGGUUAAUACCCUGUGUGGAUGACGGUACCGGAAUAAGAAGCACCGGCUAACUACGUG
Molecule: ribosomal RNA, 494 nt
Filed under: uncultured bacterium
Lineage: Bacteria
Description: bacterial SSU rRNA
Rfam family: Bacterial small subunit ribosomal RNA
Source: RNAcentral